Helianthus annuus (common sunflower) is the source of this 351-nucleotide long non-coding RNA. RefSeq lists it as uncharacterized. The transcript has 4 exons. The record is from RefSeq and is a predicted model, not a curated record. Lineage: Eukaryota; Viridiplantae; Streptophyta; Magnoliopsida; Asterales; Asteraceae.
UCCUCUUCUCUCUGGUUCUCUCUCACAAGAUUCUUCAUCCACAAACCCUAAAUCUUCUCCGCAACGACAUAUAUUCAGAUCAUAUAAAUAGUGACUUUGAAGUGUUGAUUACUAAACAAUUCUCCUUCGUUCUUCCUCUCGCCGUUCAUCAAUCUCCUUCUUUAUCAAGAAUCAAAUAUAAUCAAAGAUCCGAUCAUAAAAAUUGAAGAUUUGGGCAUGCUUUAUUCGAUGGUGUUUCAGAUCUUGUAGGUGUAACCUGGUUAGGGUUUUUCAGAGGACGCCAUGAUGACAGAAAUGUGGUUUUUCAAGAUUUUUGACUGUCACCAGCAACCGUUAUGUUGUUUAUCAUCU